RNAcentral lists this ribosomal RNA (464 nucleotides) under uncultured bacterium. RNAcentral describes it as "partial 16S ribosomal RNA". It matches the Rfam family "Bacterial small subunit ribosomal RNA", at positions 28 to 507 of the family's 1533-position model. The record is from RNAcentral.
GACGAACGCUGGCGGCGUGCUUAACACAUGCAAGUCGAACGGUAAGGCCCUUUCGGGGGUACACGAGUGGCGAACGGGUGAGUAACACGUGGGUGAUCUGCCCUGCACUUUGGGAUAAGCCUGGGAAACUGGGUCUAAUACCGGAUAGGACUACGCGAUGCAUGUCGUGUGGUGGAAAGCUUGUGCGGUGUGGGAUGGGCCCGCGGCCUAUCAGCUUGUUGGUGGGGUGAUGGCCUACCAAGGCGACGACGGGUAGCCGGCCUGAGAGGGUGUCCGGCCACACUGGGACUGAGAUACGGCCCAGACUCCUACGGGAGGCAGCAGUGGGGAAUAUUGCACAAUGGGCGCAAGCCUGAUGCAGCGACGCCGCGUGGGGGAUGACGGCCUUCGGGUUGUAAACCGCUUUCAGCACAGACGAAGCGUAAGUGACGGUAUGUGCAGAAGAAGCACCGGCCAACUACGUG